CCUACGGGAGGCAGCAGUGAGGAAUAUUGGUCAAUGGCCGGAAGGCUGAACCAGCCAUGCCGCGUGAAGGUCAGUGCCCUAUGGGCGUUAAACUUCUUUUGUGCGGGAGCAAUAAUGGUCACGUGUGGCCAGACGAGAGUACCGUACGAAUAAGCAUCGGCUAACUCCGUGCCAGCAGCCGCGGUAAUACGGGGGAUGCAAGCGUUAUCCGGAUUUAUUGGGUUUAAAGGGGGCGUAGGCUGUGAGGUAAGUCAGCGGUGAAAUGCCCCCGCGCAACGGGGUGAAGUGCCAUUGAUACUGCCUGGCUGGAAUGCGGAUGCCGUAGGAGGAAUGUGUGGUGUAGCGGUGAAAUGCAUAGAUAUCACACAGAACACCGAUUGCGAAGGCAUCUCACGAACCCGCGAUUGACGCUGAUGCACGAAAGCGUGGGUAUCAAACAGGAUUAGAUACCCGGGUAGUC
RNAcentral lists this ribosomal RNA (460 nucleotides) under uncultured bacterium. Its description in RNAcentral is "partial 16S ribosomal RNA". It matches the Rfam family "Bacterial small subunit ribosomal RNA", at positions 338 to 795 of the family's 1533-position model. The record is from RNAcentral.